AACAUAUUAAUGAGGGGCGGAAAAGAAACUAACAAGGAUUUUCUUAGUAGCGGCGAGCGAAAGGAAAUUUAGUUCAGCACUAAGUCACUUUGCCUUUAUGGUAAAUGUGAGAUGCAGUGUUAUGGAAUGUCAAAUUUCUGGCAUGAUGAAUUAACUAUUUAAGUCCUUCUUAAAUGAGGCCAUUUACCCAUAGGGGGUGCCAGGCCCGUAUAAAGUUAAUGAUUGCUAGAUGGCAUUUCCGAAGAGUCGUGUUGCUUGAUAGUGCAGCACUAAGUGGGUGGUAAACUCCAUCUAAAACUGAAUAUAACCAUGAGACCGAUAGCAAACAAGUACCGUGAGGGAAAGUUGAAAAGAACUCUGAAUAGAGAGUUAAAUAGUACGUGAAACUGCUUAGAGGUUAAGCCCGAUGAACCUGAAUAUCCGUAAUAUGGAAAAGUCAUUCACUAUGACAGUAAUAUUUUAUUAAUAUUAUGAGUAAUAGUGUGCAUUUUUUCCAUUAUAGGACAUUGUAAUCUAUUAACAUUAACUUACUAAUAUUUAUCAAAAGAUCAUUGGCGUAAGUUUAUUCAAAAUAUUUUGCAUUGGCAAUUUAAAACAGAAUAAAGCUUAUGAUUUGAUAAAGUGUUGAUAGAUUGAAUUCGUAUAUAGCGCUGAAAUAAUAAUUUAUUUUAUUAUUUUGAGUGGAUUGAAAAGUCAAUGAUUUUAAAUUCACUUAUGCGCUUAUAUGAUUUCAAUGCGAAAGAUUCAGGNNNNNNNNNNNNNNNNNNNGAAACACGGACCAAGGAGUCUAACAUAUUUGCAAGUUAUUGGGAAUUGGCGAACCCCAAUAGCGAAAUUAACGUAACUAUUAUUUUAUAAUGGGAUUAGUUUUUAGUCUUAUUUUAAAGGCUAUUGAUUCAAUCCCGGGGCGUUCUAUGCAGUUAUGUAUAAUAAUAUUUAUAUAUUAUUUGUACCUCUAACUAGAGCGUACCUUGAGCAUAUAUGCUAUGACCCGAAAGAUGGUGAACUAUACUUGAUCAGGUCGAAGUCAGGGGAAACCCUGAUGGAAGACCGAAACAGUUCUGACGUGCAAAUCGAUUGUCAGAAUUGAGUAUAGGGGCGAAAGACCAAUCGAACCAUCUAGUAGCUGGUUCCCUCUGAAGUUUCCCUCAGGAUAGCUGGUGCAUUAAAAGAUUUUGUGAAAUAAUCCUAUCUGGUAAAGCGAAUGAUUAGAGGCCUUAGGAUCGAAACGAUCUUAACCUAUUCUCAAACUUUAAAUGGGUAAGAACCUCACCUUUCUUGGUAUGAAGGUAGCGGUUGUGAUAUAAUGUGCCCAGUGGGCCACUUUUGGUAAGCAGAACUGGCGCUGUGGGCUGAACCAAACGUAAUGUUAUGGUGCCCAAAUUAACAACUCAUGCAGACACCAUGAAAGGCGUUGGUUGCUUAAAACAGCAGGACGGUGGACAUGGAAGUCGUAAUCCGCUAAGGAGUGUGUAACAACUCACCUGCCGAAGCAACUAGCCCUUAAAAUGGAUGGCGCUUAAGUUGUAUACCUAUACAUUACCGCUAGAGUAGAUGGCUUAUGUUCAAUUUCGAUUGGAUUAAUAAGCUUUGAAACUUUGGCGAGUAAGAGGGUACGAUGGUGUGCGUAGAAGUGUUUGGCGUGAGCCUGCAUGGAGCCGCCAUUGGUAUAGAUCUUGGUGGUAGUAGCAAAUAAUCGAAUGAGACCUUGGAGGACUGAAGUGGAGAAGGGUUUCGUGUGAACAGUGGUUGAUCACGAGUUAGUCGGUCCUAAGUUCAAGGCGAAAGCUGAAAAUUUUCAAGUUAUAAUGAAAAGUACCUUAAAGCAUGAACAGAUUUAUAAAAAGUGUACUCAGUAAUUAAACACUUGAAUAAUUUUUGAACGAAAGGGAAUACGGUUCCGAUUCCGUAACCUGUUGAGUAUCCGUUUGUUAUUAAAUGUGGACCUUGUGUUCAUCCUGGUAACAGGAACGACCAUAAAGAAGCCGUCGAGAGAUAUCGGAAGAGUUUUCUUUUCUGUUUUAUAGUCGUACUACCAUGGAAGUCUUUCGAAGAGAGAUAUGGUAGAUGGACUAGAAGAGCAUGACAUUUACUGUUGUGUCGAUAUCUUCUCCUCGGACCUUGAAAAUUUAUGGUGGGGACACGCGAACUUCUCAACAGGCCGUACCAAUAUCCGCAGCUGGUCUCCAAGGUGAAGAGUCUCUAGUCGAUAAGAUAAUGA
Molecule: ribosomal RNA, 2221 nt
Filed under: Hypoderma lineatum (early cattle grub)
Lineage: Eukaryota; Metazoa; Arthropoda; Insecta; Diptera; Oestridae
Description: eukaryotic LSU rRNA
Rfam family: Eukaryotic large subunit ribosomal RNA
Source: RNAcentral